CUGACGGCUCAGUAACACACGGAUAAUCUGCCCUUAGGUGGAGGAUAAUCUCGGGAAACUGAGAAUAAUACUGCAUAGGUCUAGGAGGCUGGAAUGCACUUAGACUGAAAGCUUCGGCGCCUAAGGAUGAGUCUGCGGACUAUCAGGUUGUAGUCAGGGUAACGACCUGACUAGCCUAUGACGGAUACGGGUUGUGAGAGCAAUAACCCGGAGAUGAUAUCUGAGACACGAUAUCAGGCCCUACGGGGCGCAGCAGGCGCGAAAACUUCGCAAUGUGCGAAAGCACGACGAGGGAAUCCCAAGUGCUGGCUCGUUAGAGUCAGCUGUUUUUAUGUCUAAAAAGCAUAGAGAGUAAGUGCUGGGUAAGACGGGUGCCAGCCGCCGCGGUAAUACCUGCAGCACAAGUGGUGGCCGCUAUUAUUGGGCCUAAAACGUCCGUAGCCUGUUUACUAAAUGCCUAGGUAAAUUGUGUGGCUUAACCAUACGAAUUCUGGGUAGACUGGUAAACUUGAGACCGGGAGAAACUAGAGGUACUCCUGGGGUAGAGGUGAAAUUCUGUAAUCCAAGGGGGACCACCAGUGGCGAAGGCUUCUAGCUAGAACGGGUUUUGACGGUGAGGGACGAAGCCCGGGGGCGCAAACG
Molecule: ribosomal RNA, 642 nt
Filed under: uncultured archaeon
Lineage: Archaea
Description: bacterial SSU rRNA
Rfam family: Archaeal small subunit ribosomal RNA
Source: RNAcentral